CCUAUUUGAACUGCAGCAGCCAUCACUGACACCAACGUUUGUGAUCUGAGAUGCAGCCUCCUCUUUUCUUUCUUUUAUAUUUUUCGGGAUUUUUUGUUUUUUGAAGAUGAUCAAAAGAAUCAGAAUUACAGGGACCUUCCUCACCUCAGAUGCGCAGAGUUAGGAAUGAGAAUUCCAGAUCCAACAAGAAGCUUCCAGAAGAACAUGUGGAAGCAACCACCUGAAAGAGUCCACUCAAGACCUUCCACCUGUAGCCUCAUGUGCCUGAUCUUCGAACCAUUGCAUUUGGGCUUUCUCCUGGCCUUGAGUCAGUUUGCUUGUUGAUAAACAUUUACCCAUCUGCUCCACAGUGGAUUUCUUCUGGACCCUGAAAG
Long non-coding RNA from Colius striatus (speckled mousebird), 374 nucleotides. RefSeq lists it as uncharacterized. The transcript has 3 exons. Lineage: Eukaryota; Metazoa; Chordata; Aves; Coliiformes; Coliidae. The record is from RefSeq and is a predicted model, not a curated record.